This 272-nucleotide long non-coding RNA is filed under the name Actinidia chinensis (golden kiwifruit). RNAcentral's name for it is "long non-coding RNA (ACHI_LNC002545)". Lineage: Eukaryota; Viridiplantae; Streptophyta; Magnoliopsida; Ericales; Actinidiaceae. The record is from RNAcentral.
UGAAUUCAAACGUAGUUGUGAUUUAUAAUAUAGGUAGUGCUAUCAGUUAGAUAUUACGAGUAAUUUUUAGAUAAAUGCAAGUGUAAAUUAAGAUAGCUAUUUGGACUAGUUGUGAAUGUCAUUAUUAUUUGGGAAGAUAUGGAGCUUAUGGCUUGCGUGUAAAAAUAAGGUCUUUAACAAUAAGUACAUGAACUGAAAAGAGUUAGAAGAAUUGGUUCUUGUUAGUGCUUCAGUUUGGGUGGAAGCUUAUAAAGGGGCAAAAGAUUACACCU